GCCGGUAUCUGUUCUUCUCCCUUCUUGUUAAUCCUUCCAUUUUCUCAAAUGCUCUUAUUUUUUACCUAUCUCCCUGCCUGAGCUAACCUUUUGCUAAGUGUGCCUCACUAUGAUGAAUAGCAGCUAAGAUUGGUCCAGUCCUUGCUGGGUACCUGGCUCAGUUGAAGAGUUUUCUUUGUACCAUCUUAUUUGGGCUUCUCAACAACCCUAGGAGAUGUUUCCAGAUAGCUUUCAAAAAAUGCUGUCGCCGUUCACAUAGCCACCAGCAAAAGAUGAGAUCGUCCUUUCCACCACAAUCUAAAACAGUCUCAAGAAGUGAAAAAAUAGUCACAAAUGAGAGUCACAUGUUGGGAGCCAGCAAGGAACAGGGGUCACUCAAGGGGAGGAUGAAGCUCUAAGGGAUUGCUUAAUCAGCAGUUGACGAGCUUAUGGCCACGAAGGAGGAGGUCAACAUGGACACUCCAGAAACAGCCUUGCCCUUGGCACCCCACAAGAGUGACACCAGACAUAUUCCAGGAGUUGGAUCGACCAUAGCUUGUAGUGCUGGGGUAAGUGCUUUUCUCCAUUCGACUCCCAUUUCAGGAUUAUCUGUGGCUUGGAGCACCCCAGCAUGGUGCAGUUGCAAGAAGCCCGAUGUAUGUCACUUGAGACAGCCUUGAAUCUGGAUCUUCUCCUUGUGUUUUGGUGUCUGGAAAAGGAUAGAGAAGGCACCCUUGAGCUGAAAUUGGAGGGAAAUAUGAGGAACACAUGAAUUUAGAAGAAAAAGGAGAGUCUCAUGUUUAGUGUUUUGUCUAUGGCAGUAUCUAGCUUAACCCCUAUUUAAUUACCACCCAAUGAUCAACGUCGAAAUUUACAUCUGAAUGAAAUCCACAGUGCAAUCUUCUGUUUUAAAAAGGAUCUAGGAAAAAAAUAGAAUAGCAAUUUGGUUCUGGAUUUUGUACAUCACCUUUGAUGACCAGAAGUCUAACGUAGGCAGAGUUCUGAACAAAUUCGCACUUUUGCACUCAUAG
RNAcentral lists this long non-coding RNA (1010 nucleotides) under Equus asinus (donkey). RNAcentral's name for it is "lncRNA (ENSEASG00005028648.1)". The record is from RNAcentral. Lineage: Eukaryota; Metazoa; Chordata; Mammalia; Perissodactyla; Equidae.